This 237-nucleotide ribosomal RNA is filed under the name uncultured Lactobacillus sp. Its description in RNAcentral is "partial 16S ribosomal RNA". It matches the Rfam family "Bacterial small subunit ribosomal RNA", at positions 127 to 354 of the family's 1533-position model. The record is from RNAcentral. Lineage: Bacteria; Bacillati; Bacillota; Bacilli; Lactobacillales; Lactobacillaceae.
UGCCCCAUAGUCUGGGAUACCACUUGGAAACAGGUGCUAAUACCGGAUAAGAAAGCGGAUCGCAUGAUCAGCUUUUAAAAGGCGGCGUAAGCUGUCGCUAUGGGAUGGCCCCGCGGUGCAUUAGCUAGUUGGUAAGGUAAAGGCUUACCAAGGCGAUGAUGCAUAGCCGAGUUGAGAGACUGAUCGGCCACAUUGGGACUGAGACACGGCCCAAACUCCUACGGGAGGCAGCAGAAC